CCCUUUCCAGUAACAAGAGCAUUCUACUGCACUAUGUUCCAGCACCCAUGUUGCGAAGCCUGCUCAAGUAAGGGUGAUUCUCUGGGACACCAUCCUCCACGCAGACACGGACAUUCAGCCUGGUGGAAGGCAGUCCGUUCACUGGGAUGUAAUGGAUUUUUUAAAGUCUAGAUUGAAGGCAGUAUCCCUUCAUCGUGAUGGAAGGAAUUUAAAACUUUCUAGUUGGGAAGACAAAUGAAAAGCCUCAUAAUGAGGUUAAAGUCAAGGAUGCAAAAGAAACCUACCCCCACAACCACAUAAAUGGCAUGAUAAUGUGUAUGUGUUGCCUCAGACACCACAGUGACUAUCUUUGUAUGAAGUAUAAAGCAGACCAAUUCAGACAAAAAUGAAAAUGUACCAGAAAAAAA
RNAcentral lists this long non-coding RNA (407 nucleotides) under Homo sapiens (human). RNAcentral describes it as "HSALNT0159310". Lineage: Eukaryota; Metazoa; Chordata; Mammalia; Primates; Hominidae. The record is from RNAcentral.